RNAcentral lists this transfer RNA (65 nucleotides) under Dipodomys ordii (Ord's kangaroo rat). It matches the Rfam family "tRNA". Rfam says of the family: Transfer RNA (tRNA) molecules are approximately 80 nucleotides in length. Their secondary structure includes four short double-helical elements and three loops (D, anti-codon, and T loops). The record is from Rfam by way of RNAcentral. Lineage: Eukaryota; Metazoa; Chordata; Mammalia; Rodentia; Heteromyidae.
GGUGGCUCAGAGGUAGAGUACUUGUCUUGCAAGCAUGAGGCCCUGGGUUCAAUUCCUCAGCACCA